Molecule: ribosomal RNA, 482 nt
Filed under: uncultured bacterium
Lineage: Bacteria
Description: partial 16S ribosomal RNA
Rfam family: Bacterial small subunit ribosomal RNA
Source: RNAcentral
GAUGAACGCUAGCGGCAGGCCUAGUACAUGCAAGUCGAACGAGAUUAAGAGGCUUGCUUCUUAUGAAAGUGGCGCACGGGUGCGUAACGCGUAUGCAACCUACCUUAAUCAGGGGGAUAGCCCGAAGAAAUUCGGAUUAAGACCGCAUAAAAACACAGGAUAGCAUUAUCCAAUGUUCAAAUAUUUAUAGGAUUAAGAUGGGCAUGCGUGUCAUUAGCUAGUUGGCGGGGUAACGGCCCACCAAGGCGACGAUGACUAGGGGAUCUGAGAGGAUGACCCCCCACACUGGUACUGAGACACGGACCAGACUCCUACGGGAGGCAGCAGUAAGGAAUAUUGGUCAAUGGAGGGAACUCUGAACCAGCCAUGCCGCGUGCAGGAAGACAGCCCUCUGGGUCGUAAACUGCUUUUAUUCGGGAAUAAACCUUUCUACGUGUAGGAAGCUGAAUGUACCGAAGGAAUAAGGAUCGGCUAACUCCGUG